AGAUGUGAGGGCGAUCUGGCUGCGACAUCUGUCACCCCAUUGGUCACCAAGGUUGAUUCAACUGAUCUGGCCUGGUGUCCCCUUCUUCCUUCACUGCUCUAUGUGUGUCCCUCCCUCCCAAAGCAGGAUGUUUGAUCAAAGAAGGAAGGUGUUCCCCAAAUAGAGAUGGGAGGGUCUUUAGUCAAGGGUAUAGGAGUAGCUAUGCUACCCUGCUAGGACCUCUAAACAAAUUCUCAAGAAAAUUCUACACUGAUGUAUAUAAUUCUACCAAUGUACAUUCUCAUGGUAAUUCAGAAGUGUUCCCUUUACUAUAUUUUA
Molecule: small nuclear RNA, 318 nt
Filed under: Erinaceus europaeus (western European hedgehog)
Lineage: Eukaryota; Metazoa; Chordata; Mammalia; Eulipotyphla; Erinaceidae
Description: 7SK RNA
Rfam family: 7SK RNA
About the family: 7SK was discovered as an abundant small nuclear RNA in the mid-70s but a possible function has only recently been suggested. Two independent studies have found that 7SK RNA binds the CDK9/cyclin T complex (known as elongation factor P-TEFb).
Source: Rfam by way of RNAcentral